UAAGGAAUAUUGGACAAUGGUCGCAAGACUGAUCCAGCCAUGCCGCGUGCAGGAAGACGGCCCUAUGGGUUGUAAACUGCUUUUGUACCAGAGAAAACCUAUCUACGUGUAGAUAGCUGAUAGUAUGGUAAGAAUAAGCAUCGGCUAACUUCGUGCCAGCAGCCGCGGUAAGACGAAGGAUGCGAGCGUUAUCCGGAUUCAUUGGGUUUAAAGGGUGCGUAGGUGGGCAGAUAAGUCAGUGGUGAAAUCUUCCGGCUUAACCGGGAAACUGCCGUUGAUACUAUUUGUCUUGAAUAUUGCGGAGGUAAGCGGAAUAUGUCAUGUAGCGGUGAAAUGCUUAGAUAUGACAUAGAACACCAAUUGCGAAGGCAGCUUACUACACAAUCAUUGACACUGAGGCACGAAAGCGUGGGUAGCGAACA
RNAcentral lists this ribosomal RNA (422 nucleotides) under uncultured bacterium. RNAcentral describes it as "bacterial SSU rRNA". It matches the Rfam family "Bacterial small subunit ribosomal RNA", at positions 355 to 774 of the family's 1533-position model. The record is from RNAcentral.